UUGGAGGGCAAGUCUGGUGCCAGCAGCCGCGGUAAUUCCAGCUCCAAUAGCGUAUAUUAAAGUUGUUGCAGUUAAAAAGCUCGUAGUUGAAUUUCGGGAUUAGUACGUUGGUCGUGCCUUAGGUACGUACUGGUGUUACUGGUUCCUACCUUCUGAUGAACCAUCAUGUCAUUAAUUUGGUGUGGUGGGGAAUCAGGACUGUUACUUUGAAAAAAUUGAGUGUUUAAAGCAGGCUCGCGCUUGAAUACAUUAGCAUGGAAUAAUGAAAUAGG
RNAcentral lists this ribosomal RNA (272 nucleotides) under uncultured Glomus. Its description in RNAcentral is "partial 18S ribosomal RNA". It matches the Rfam family "Eukaryotic small subunit ribosomal RNA", at positions 548 to 826 of the family's 1831-position model. The record is from RNAcentral. Lineage: Eukaryota; Fungi; Glomeromycota; Glomeromycetes; Glomerales; Glomeraceae.